RNAcentral lists this ribosomal RNA (492 nucleotides) under uncultured bacterium. RNAcentral describes it as "partial 16S ribosomal RNA". It matches the Rfam family "Bacterial small subunit ribosomal RNA", at positions 29 to 507 of the family's 1533-position model. The record is from RNAcentral.
AUUGAACGCUGGCGGCAUGCUUUACACAUGCAAGUCGAACGGUAACAGGCCUUCGGGUGCUGACGAGUGGCGUACGGGUGAGUAAUGCAUCGGAACGUACCCAGAGGUGGGGAUAACGCCGCCAAAACUGUGCUAAAUACCCAAGUGAAUCGAGGAUUAAAACGGGGGAACGAGCAGCCAAGUUUGGCCCUGGGCCCUUUGAGCGGCCGGAUGUCGGAUUAGCUAGUUGUGGGGGUAAAGGCCUACCAAGGCGACGAUCCGUAGCUGGGCUGAGAGGACGACCAGCCACACUGGGACUGAGACACGGCCCAGACUCCUACGGGAGGCAGCAGUGGGGAAUUUUGGACAAUGGGCGCAAGCCUGAUCCAGCAAUGCCGCGUGCGGGAAGAAGGCCUUCGGGUUGUAAACCGCUUUUGGCAGGAACGAAACGGUGUCCGCUAAUACCGGGCGCUAAUGACGGUACCUGCAGAAUAAGCACCGGCUAACUACGUG